GGAACAUUUGAGAGCAGAAACUGUAGUUACUGAGCCGCCACAUUACAUUUUAUUCACUCAGCUGGAAGCUCCACGGGAUUGUUGCCAUGUAAACAAUGUCACGGUUACCUGUCAUCUGCUGCACAUUUAAGCCGACAGUCAAAUAUCGUUGGCAGGACGCUGGAUAACUUCUCCUGCAGCAAUCCUGUUGACAACAGUCUCGUCGAGCCUCCGGAUGACCCCCGCCAUGUUUGCAGUGGUGCUGACUUCGCUUCAGCGCGCGGAGAAAGGAGGAACGUCGGCGGCGGGGCCUGCGUCCUGACGUAUAAUGUGAUUCGCUGCAAGUCUUCUUCGUUGGUAGUUUUUUUUGACACUUUUUUACACAGCGCUAUAUAACGAUUGUUUUUGUUUUUCUUCUCUAUGGUUCUCCAUACUAGUCCACAUAUUUUCACAAAAAGCAGGCAAAUAAUUAAAGUUAAACAAAUGACACCAAUGUGUAAAUAUAAGCUUGAAUUUUUGAAACAAAUUGAUUCUUAAAUCUGGAAUCACUGAAGUUAUUUCACAGUCUACAGAGUAUUUGUCCUUUUCAUUUCAUAGUAAUAAAGUGUAGUGAUAGACAUGUUCAGCUCUGGAUUUUGUUUAGGAGCCAA
Molecule: long non-coding RNA, 629 nt
Organism: Mugil cephalus (flathead mullet)
Lineage: Eukaryota; Metazoa; Chordata; Actinopteri; Mugiliformes; Mugilidae
Exons: 3
Source: RefSeq, a predicted model, not a curated record